This 301-nucleotide ribosomal RNA is filed under the name uncultured bacterium. RNAcentral's name for it is "partial 16S ribosomal RNA". It matches the Rfam family "Bacterial small subunit ribosomal RNA", at positions 509 to 807 of the family's 1533-position model. The record is from RNAcentral.
CAGCCGCCGCGGUAAUACGUAGGGUGCAAGCGUUAAUCGGAAUUACUGGGCGUAAAGCGUGCGCAGGCGGUUAUAUAAGACAGAUGUGAAAUCCCCGGGCUCAACCUGGGAACUGCAUUUGUGACUGUAUAGCUAGAGUACGGCAGAGGGGGAUGGAAUUCCGCGUGUAGCAGUGAAAUGUGUAGAUAUGCGGAGGAACACCGAUGGCGAAGGCAAUCCCCUGGGCCUGUACUGACGCUCAUGCACGAAAGCGUGGGGAGCAAACAGGAUUAGAUACCCGUGUAGUCCCUGUCUCUUAUAC